AUUGAACGCUGGCGGCAGGCCUAACACAUGCAAGUCGAACGAGUGGCGGACGGGUGAGUAAUGUCUGGGAAACUGCCUGAUGGAGGGGGAUAACUACUGGAAAAGGUAGCUAAUACCGCAUACCAUCAGAUGUGCCCAGCUGGGCUUAGCUAGUAGGUGGGGUAAUGGCUCACCUGGGCGACGAUCCCUAGCUGGUCUGAGAGGAUGACCAGCCACGCUGGAACGUAGACACGUUCCAGACUCCUACGGGAGGCAGCAGUGGGGAAUAUUGCACAAUGGGCGCAAGACUGAUGCAGCCAUGCCGCGUGUGUGAAUAAGGCCUUCGGGUUGUAAAGCACGUUCAGCGAGGAGGUGUUACUCGCAGAAGAAGCACCGGCUAAAGCCGUGCCAGCAGCCGCGGUAAUUC
Molecule: ribosomal RNA, 406 nt
Filed under: uncultured bacterium
Lineage: Bacteria
Description: partial 16S ribosomal RNA
Rfam family: Bacterial small subunit ribosomal RNA
Source: RNAcentral